RNAcentral lists this non-coding RNA (68 nucleotides) under unclassified sequences. Its description in RNAcentral is "Cyano-1 RNA". It matches the Rfam family "Cyano-1 RNA". The record is from RNAcentral. RNAcentral also lists the same sequence under 1 other name.
GAGUGUGUAGGAGGAAUCGAUUUAUUUCAGUGGAAACAAGGAAACACUUGAUUUAAUUCGAUUUUAAA